CCUACGGGAGGCAGCAGUGGGGAAUAUUGGACAAUGGGCGAAAGCCUGAUCCAGCCAUGCCGCGUGUGUGAAGAAGGCCUUCGGGUUGUAAAGCACUUUCAGUGGGGAAGAAAGCCUUGGGGCUAAUACCCUCGAGAAAGGACAUCACCCACAGAAGAAGCACCGGCUAACUCCGUGCCAGCAGCCGCGGUAAUACGGAGGGUGCGAGCGUUAAUCGGAAUUACUGGGCGUAAAGCGCGCGUAGGCGGUCUGAUAAGCCGGUUGUGAAAGCCCCGGGCUCAACCUGGGAACGGCAUCCGGAACUGUCAGGCUAGAGUGCAGGAGAGGAAGGUAGAAUUCCCGGUGUAGCGGUGAAAUGCGUAGAGAUCGGGAGGAAUACCAGUGGCGAAGGCGGCCUUCUGGACUGACACUGACGCUGAGGUGCGAAAGCGUGGGUAGCAAACAGGAUUAGAUACCCGAGUAGUC
This 465-nucleotide ribosomal RNA is filed under the name Vreelandella stevensii. RNAcentral describes it as "partial 16S ribosomal RNA". It matches the Rfam family "Bacterial small subunit ribosomal RNA", at positions 338 to 795 of the family's 1533-position model. Lineage: Bacteria; Pseudomonadati; Pseudomonadota; Gammaproteobacteria; Oceanospirillales; Halomonadaceae. The record is from RNAcentral.